RNAcentral lists this unclassified non-coding RNA (336 nucleotides) under soil metagenome. Its description in RNAcentral is "partial contains 5.8S ribosomal RNA, internal transcribed spacer 2, and large subunit ribosomal RNA". The stretch from base 1 to 120 matches the Rfam family "5.8S ribosomal RNA", at positions 35 to 154 of the family's 154-position model. The record is from RNAcentral.
GAUGAAGAACGCAGCGAAAUGCGAUAAGUAAUGUGAAUUGCAGAAUUCAGUGAAUCAUCGAAUCUUUGAACGCACAUUGCGCCCCUUGGUAUUCCGGGGGGCAUGCCUGUUCGAGCGUCAUUUCAACCCUCAAGCUCUGCUUGGUAUUGGGCACCGUCCUUUGCGGGCGCGCCUCAAAGACCUCGGCGGUGGCGUCUUGCCUCAAGCGUAGUAGAAUACACCUCGCUUCGGAGCGUAAGGCGUCGCCCGCCGGACGAACCUUCUGAACUUUUCUCAAGGUUGACCUCGGAUCAGGUAGGGAUACCCGCUGAACUUAAGCAUAUCAAAAGCGGAGGA